This is a long non-coding RNA of Balaenoptera musculus (blue whale), 508 nucleotides long. RefSeq lists it as uncharacterized. The record is from RefSeq and is a predicted model, not a curated record. The transcript is spliced from 2 exons. NCBI's taxonomy places the organism in Eukaryota, Metazoa, Chordata, Mammalia, Artiodactyla, Balaenopteridae.
UCCCCGGAGGCGCCGGCACAGAGCGUCUUCCCUGGGUACCAGCUCUGGCUCAGCGGUGACCGGCGUCUCGCCCUCACGGAGGGGUGGGCCCGGGGCCGCCGGCCUGGCUGCUGACGGGGAUGAUGGGACCAAUUCAAGCUUUAAAGGUUAUAAACAUUAUCUGCAAUCGAAGAUUCAAUAGGGAAAAAAACAACUACCCUUUAAUUCUGGCUACUCUCCUGCCCUACCUGAACUGCAGAUACUUGGCACGUUCGUGGCUGCUGCUUAGCCGUGGCUUGAAUCGGAGAUUCCAGCCGCUUCCGUGCACGCCACGUUACUUCUCCUCCCGGAGGCCCUGCCACUGUCAUAGUCCUGCAGGCACAGUGCUUCUAGGUGCUACAGCCAUGGAAAGUUCUGUUACCUGCAGUGUCCUCACUGGCCCAUUGGAGUUUCUUGAGCAGUAAAGGCAGGUUUGGCUUAAAUAUGGAUUAUGCUAAAAUAUUUAUGUUCUUUCAACAUAAAGCUAUCA